CCCUUAGAUGUUCUGGGCAGCACGCGCUCUACAAUGGUCUUCGCAAACGGAUGCAUUCUCGAAGGAGAAUGCCAAUCUUGGAAUCUAUGCCUUGGUCGGGACAGUUGCUUGCAAUUUUUCGACUCGAACCAGGAAUUCCUUGUAAUCGUGAUUCAUCACAUCACGAUGAAUACGUCCCUGCCCUUUGUACACACCGCCCGUCGCUCCUACCGAUCGAAGAGUUAGGUGAAUUGUUUUGAUCGAUAAGAUUUGACUAUGGUCAACUCUCGUUGUGAAAUUCUGUGAAUCUGACUGUUUAGAGGAAGGAAAAGUCGUAACA
RNAcentral lists this ribosomal RNA (319 nucleotides) under uncultured eukaryote. RNAcentral's name for it is "partial 18S ribosomal RNA". It matches the Rfam family "Eukaryotic small subunit ribosomal RNA", at positions 1470 to 1796 of the family's 1831-position model. The record is from RNAcentral.